CUGGCAGUAAUAGAAACUGAAGUCCUCUUUUUGUAUCCACAGGAUAGAUACAGUUGGGCCACUCCAGUGUGAGCCUCUCCACGCUGCCCCAUCAAUGACCUGGAGGGACUUUCUUCCCUCUCUUAGAAGAUAGGAUGUUUGGUCUCCAUAGCAGCUCAGUUCUGGUCUCUC
This 171-nucleotide small RNA is filed under the name Ictidomys tridecemlineatus (thirteen-lined ground squirrel). RNAcentral describes it as "TUC338 (ENSSTOG00000031050.1)". Lineage: Eukaryota; Metazoa; Chordata; Mammalia; Rodentia; Sciuridae. The record is from RNAcentral.